Molecule: ribosomal RNA, 1434 nt
Filed under: Photobacterium sp. MB5
Lineage: Bacteria; Pseudomonadati; Pseudomonadota; Gammaproteobacteria; Vibrionales; Vibrionaceae
Description: bacterial SSU rRNA
Rfam family: Bacterial small subunit ribosomal RNA
Source: RNAcentral
GUCGAGCGGUAACAGGUAGAAGCUUGUUUCUUUGCUGACGAGCGGCGGACGGUUGAGUAAUGCUUGGGAAUAUGCCUUAGUGUGGGGGAUAACUGUUGGAAACGAUAGCUAAUACCGCAUAACGUCUUCGGACCAAAGAGGGGGACCUUCGGGCCUCUCGCGCUAAGAUUAGCCCAGGUGGGAUUAGCUAGUUGGUGGGGUAAAGGCUCACCAAGGCAACGAUCCCUAGCUGGUCUGAGAGGAUGAUCAGCCACACUGGAACUGAGCCACGAUCCAACACUUANACGGGAGGCAGCAGUGGGGAAUAUUGCACAAUGGGGGAAACCCUGAUGCAGCCAUGCCGCGUGUAUGAAGAAGGCCUUCGGGUUGUAAAGUACUUUCAGUCGUGAGGAAGGGGCAGUCAUUAAUAGUGGCCGUCUUUGACGUUAGCGACAGAAGAAGCACCGGCUAACUCCGUGCCAGCAGCCGCGGUAAUACGGAGGGUGCGAGCGUUAAUCGGANNACUCAUANGAAUUUGACGGGNCCCGCCACAAGCGNUGGGAGCAUGUGGCUGAANUNUGGGCGUAAGCGCACUCCAGGCGGUUAGCUCAAGCGAGAUGUGAAAGCCCGGGGCUCANCCUCGGAACAGCAUUUCGAACUGGCUAACUAGAGUCUGUAGAGGGGGGUAGAAUUUCAGGUGUAGCGGUGAAAUGCGUAGAGAUCUGAAGGAAUACCGGUGGCGAAGGCGGCCCCCUGGACAAAGACUGACGCUCAGAUGCGAAAGCGUGGGGAGCAAACAGGAUUAGAUACCCUGGUAGUCCACGCCGUAAACGAUGUCUACUUGAAGGUUGUGGCCUUGAUCCGUGGCUUUCGGAGCUAACGCGUUAAGUAGACCGCCUGGGGAGUACGGUCGCAAGAUUAAAACUCAAAUGAAUUGACGGGGGCCCGCACAAGCGGUGGAGCAUGUGGUUUAAUUCGAUGCAACGCGAAGAACCUUACCUACUCUUGACAUCCAGAGAAGCCAGCGGAGACGCAGGUGUGCCUUCGGGAACUCUGAGACAGGUGCUGCAUGGCUGUCGUCAGCUCGUGUUGUGAAAUGUUGGGUUAAGUCCCGCAACGAGCGCAACCCUUAUCCUUGUUUGCCAGCACGUAAUGGUGGGAACUCCAAGGAGACUGCCGGUGAUAAACCGGAGGAAGGUGGGGACGACGUCAAGUCAUCAUGGCCCUUACGAGUAGGGCUACACACGUGCUACAAUGGCGUAUACAGAGGGCUGCCAACCAGCGAUGGUGAGCGAAUCCCACAAAGUACGUCGUAGUCCGGAUCGGAGUCUGCAACUCGACUCCGUGAAGUCGGAAUCGCUAGUAAUCGUGAAUCAGAAUGUCACGGUGAAUACGUUCCCGGGCCUUGUACACACCGCCCGUCACACCAUGGGAGUGGGCUGCACCAAGAAGUAG